UACAGAGGGUGCAAACGUUGCUCGGAAUCACUGGGCGUAAAGGGCGUGUAGGCGGGAAGGAAAGUCAGAUGUGAAAUCCCUGGGCUCAACCCAGGAACUGCAUUUGAAACUCCCUUUCUUGAGUGUCGGAGAGGAAAGCGGAAUUCCUGGUGUAGAGGUGAAAUUCGUAGAUAUCAGGAGGAACACCGGUGGCGAAGGCGGCUUUCUGGACGACAACUGACGCUGAGACGCGAAAGCGUGGGGAGCAAACAGG
RNAcentral lists this ribosomal RNA (253 nucleotides) under uncultured bacterium. Its description in RNAcentral is "partial 16S ribosomal RNA". It matches the Rfam family "Bacterial small subunit ribosomal RNA", at positions 524 to 776 of the family's 1533-position model. The record is from RNAcentral.